GAGUUUGAUCCUGGCUCAGAUUGAACGCUGGCGGAAUGCUUUACACAUGCAAGUCGAGCGGCAGCGCGGGGGCAACUCUGGCGGCGAGCGGCGAACGGGUGAGUAACACAUCUGAACGUACCCAGCUGUGGGGGAUAGCCCGGCGAAAGCCGGAUUAAUACCGCAUACGACCUGAGGGUGAAAGGGGGGGAUCGCAAGACCUCUCGCAGUUGGAGCGGCCGAUGGCGGAUUAGCUAGUUGGUGAGGUAAAGGCUCACCAAGGCGACGAUCCGUAGCUGGUCUGAGAGGACGACCAGCCACACUGGAACUGAGACACGGUCCAGACUCCUACGGGAGGCAGCAGUGGGGAAUUUUGGACAAUGGGGGCAACCCUGAUCCAGCCAUUCCGCGUGAGUGAAGAAGGCCUUCGGGUUGUAAAGCUCUUUCGGCAGGAACGAAACGGUGGAGGCUAAUACCUUUCAUCAAUGACGGUACCUGAAGAAGAAGCACCGGCUAACUACGUGCCAGCAGCCGCGGUAAUACGUAGGGUGCGAGCGUUAAUCGGAAUUACUGGGCGUAAAGCGUGCGCAGGCGGUUUCGUAAGACAGAUGUGAAAUCCCCGGGCUUAACCUGGGAACUGCGUUUGUGACUGCGAGACUCGAGUGUGGCAGAGGGGGGUGGAAUUCCACGUGUAGCAGUGAAAUGCGUAGAGAUGUGGAGGAACACCGAUGGCGAAGCAGCCCCCUGGGUCAACACUGACGCUCAUGCACGAAAGCGUGGGGAGCAAACAGGAUUAGAUACCCUGGUAGUCCACGCCCUAAACGAUGCGAACUAGGUGUUGGAGAAGGAGACUUCUUUAGUACCGUAGCUAACGCGUGAAGUUCGCCGCCUGGGGAGUACGGUCGCAAGAUUAAAACUCAAAGGAAUUGACGGGGACCCGCACAAGCGGUGGAUGAUGUGGAUUAAUUCGAUGCAACGCGAAAAACCUUACCUACCCUUGACAUGCCAGGAAUCCUGCAGAGAUGUGGGGAGUGCCCGAAAGGGAGCCUGGACACAGGUGCUGCAUGGCUGUCGUUCAGCUCGUGUCGUGAGAUGUUGGGUUAAGUCCCGCAACGAGCGCAACCCUUGUCAUUAGUUGCCAUCAUUCAGUUGGGCACUCUAAUGAGACUGCCGGUGACAAACCGGAGGAAGGUGGGGAUGACGUCAAGUCCUCAUGGCCCUUAUGGGUAGGGCUUCACACGUCAUACAAUGGUCGGUACAGAGGGUUGCCAAGCCGCGAGGUGGAGCCAAUCCCAAAAAGCCGAUCGUAGUCCGGAUCGUAGUCUGCAACUCGACUGCGUGAAGUCGGAAUCGCUAGUAAUCGUGGAUCAGCAUGCCACGGUGAAUACGUUCCCGGGUCUUGUACACACCGCCCGUCACACCAUGGGAGUGGGUUUCACCAGAAGUAGGUAGCCUAACCGCAAGGGGGGCGCUUACCACGGUGGGAUUCAUGACUGGGGUGAAGUCGUAACAAGGUAGCCGUAGGGGAACCUGCGGCUGGAUCACCUCCUUUCUA
Molecule: ribosomal RNA, 1534 nt
Filed under: uncultured bacterium
Lineage: Bacteria
Description: bacterial SSU rRNA
Rfam family: Bacterial small subunit ribosomal RNA
Source: RNAcentral